AUUGAACGCUGGCGGCAGGCCUAACACAUGCAAGUCGAGCGGAUGAAGGGAGCUUGCUCCUGGAUUCAGCGGCGGACGGGUGAGUAAUGCCUAGGAAUCUGCCUGGUAGUGGGGGAUAACGUCCGGAAACGGGCGCUAAUACCGCAUACGUCCUGAGGGUGAAAGUGGGGGAUCUUCGGACCUCACGCUAUCAGAUGAGCCUAGGUUGGAUUAGCUAGUUGGUGGGGUAAAGGCCUACCAAGGCGACGAUCCGUAACCGAUCUGAGAGGGUGAUCCGCCACACUGGAACUGAGACACGGUCCAGACUCCUACGGGAGGCAGCAGUAGGGAAUUUUGCGCAAUGGGCGAAAGCCUGACGGCGCAACGCCGCGUGAGUGAAGAAGGUCUUCGGGUUGUAAAACUCUGUUAUGUGGGAAGAAAAGACGUGAAAGUAACUCUGUGCAUUUUGACGGUACCCAAUAAGAAAGCCACGGCUAACUACGUG
Molecule: ribosomal RNA, 484 nt
Filed under: uncultured bacterium
Lineage: Bacteria
Description: partial 16S ribosomal RNA
Rfam family: Bacterial small subunit ribosomal RNA
Source: RNAcentral